CACACACACACACACACACACACACACACACACACACACACAUACUGGCAUAUGUGGUUUAUGAGGUCAUUGUGACUUUUUGAUGGUUUACGGGGACACACCUUUCCCAACAUCCAAUCGACAUGAAAGUCGUGUCAAAAAAUUUCAUUUGAUCUACAAAAGACAAAUCAUGCUUCAAAAAAACAAUUUCACUUUCAUAACACACAGAUAUUAAAUAUGUGACAUUUCACAGGCUUGCGGGGUCGGGCCAAAUUGUGGUUUAUGAGGACACCUGGUUUAUGAGGCCACUUUUACACACAACACACAAACCUAGCCUCAAUCCUGGGUUAAGGGGACUGACGAACAUUAGUAACAUUAGUUUGCUCUGCUACUGAAAGAAGGGUCUUCAUGACAAUAGCACAGCUCCUGGCUUUCCCCAACUAAACUCCUGCAUAAACCAGUUCAAUUAUAAAAAAAAAAAAAAAAUCAAUUUCACAAGUCAUUUGUAGCCUAAUUAUGCAGUAAAAUAUUAUAUAUGAUCUGGGAUUAUUAAAAGAAACUGUACCUUUGAAGAACAAUGUAAAUGCUUGGAAAUAUUUAACAUCUUUAAUUCCAUUCAUUAUUUGUAGCGUGCCUGCCGUCCAAUAAUCACACUUAAGUUUUGUGUUUUGUUACUUUUAAUCAGAAAUAAAGUAUCAGCUUUCAAAUUCUAUCAGUUUUAUCACAAAAUUCAAAAAUGUUUUUUUUUUUUUUUUCCAGCCACAGAGAGACGUCAGCAAAACAGUGUCACAUAAAGCUUCAUUUUUAAUGUUUGUUUUAAGAAAUUGGUCAUGGGAAUGAGCAAGGAGACAUGCGGAAUGCAGACUUGUUAGAAAAUGUGUACUCAAUGAAAUCAUGAUGUGGGGUGGCUUAUCUUGUUACAAUGUCUUGAGCAGUUCAGUUCUAUAUUGGUAGUUGUAGCCAUUGCAGUGUGAAUGUCAUCGCGUGUCAGCAUGGACACCCAUUGUCUACACCAGGCAUAGUUCUGCCUCGUUGUAGUUUUAGUUGAUGCAACAGGUGUAAAUAUUUAUUGUAAAGUUGGACGUUGCAAAGUCUGAGAUCUUUUCGUUUUAACUAAUUUAAUGUAUUCUAUUUAAAAGUGUAAGUCACUUAUUGCAACUAUUCAUUGAUUAAAUUAAUACAAUCAAUGUCAAAUCUGCAAUUGUGCUGAUAUUCAAGAAACAACACUACUGGUAGUCUCAUGUUGCUUAACUAGGCUAUAUCAAACUAUUAAUGUAAAAACUCAAUUUUUAAUGCAGUGUUUGUUGUAUAUAUUUCUCAGAACAAAUGGUGUGACUGUUACCUGUUACUGUCACAUUAUUCAUGAUCAACUGAGGCAGUUCAGGUGUUUUUUUUUUUUGUUUUUUUUUUUACAUUGCUGAUUGCUUUUUUCUUGAUGCUUAACAA
Cyprinus carpio carpio is the source of this 1425-nucleotide long non-coding RNA. The record is from Ensembl. NCBI's taxonomy places the organism in Eukaryota, Metazoa, Chordata, Actinopteri, Cypriniformes, Cyprinidae.